This 2127-nucleotide long non-coding RNA is filed under the name Patiria miniata (bat star). RNAcentral's name for it is "uncharacterized LOC119733331". Lineage: Eukaryota; Metazoa; Echinodermata; Asteroidea; Valvatida; Asterinidae. The record is from RNAcentral.
CGCGGCCGGACGGACUACCCAGCUUUCCUAACGCUCGAUACCGAUUCCGAACAUUCCGAACAUAAUUCCUAACCGAUUCCUAACCAAUUCCUAACGCUUUCCUAACGGCGCGUUAGGAAUUGGUUAGGAAUUGGUUAGGAAUUGGUUAGGAAUUACAAGUGGGCGUUAGGAAAGUGAUAUCGGAUUUCGGCAAACGUGACCUUUAACCCGAGUAAAAGAUGGCGGCCUCCAGGAGUCCGCCAUUGCUCCGUGAUUCAGAAUUUGGCUAUACACAAGUCACAAGUGAGGCGAGGUCAUCAUGUCUAAGAUGGGGCGGCUACAUGCUGCAUACGUAUAGAUGAAGUGAUGUUGGUGUUCAGCGUGUUUGCUAUGCCUAUAAGAAAGGAAGAGGUGAUGCAUAUUGGGGGCAUAUCAUGCGACAAUAUGCCAAUGGUCGCUACCAAUUUGGCAUUGGCCAAAAGCUGGGCAGUAAGAGAUGGAACUAAAGAAGGUUGAGAGUUGCCCGUGCCACAACACCCCCAGACCACAGAUCUGAUGGGGCGCAGAAUCGUCUGCAACUGAUCUUACCAUGAGGAUACUACAACCUAACCCACAAGUGGUCCAUCCAGGCCAGCCACAAGUGAUGCGUCCAGGCCAGCCACAAGCAGUGCGUCCCCCCCAGCCACAAGUGGUGCGUCCGGGCAAGCCGCACGCCGUCUGUCAAGGCCAGCCACCGGAUGUCCAUUCAAGCCAACCAACUUUUGAAUGCCCGCAGUGUUUCUAAAGAGUAGGAGUGGAUGCAUUUACUGACCACCACAAGAGUCAGCAAGUGAAAAGCACACCCUCCCGUCAGGUGAGCCAGCCCCCCUCUCGCCAGGAGAGCCAACCAGGAGAGAGCAGCCCCUCUGUCCCACCACCUUCUCGUCAGGUGAGCCAGCCAGUCUCUUGCGAGGAGAGCCAACCAGGAGAGAGCAGGCCCUCUGUCCCCCUGCCCUCUCAUCAGGAGAGCCCCCCCCCCCCCCUCUCGCCAGGAGAGCGAACUAGGAGAGAGCAGGCCCUCUGUCUCCUGCCAUCCUCCAGUCCUCCCCUCCAACCAAUUGUAUCGCCAACUUUCCAGAUGAGGCAGCCUUCAUUGGACUGGGCCAGGUUUUUUUUUUUACAUCGGACUGACACUUGAUACACCGGUGUGUAGAAUACUCCUUUACAUGUUCAUUCGACUUGGAUGAAACUCCUUUAAGGCAGUUAUUAAUAAAACAAUUAAUAAAACAGUCGAAACAGCUCAGUGCUUGUCCACAAAACACAUUUCUAGCUGAAAAUUUGAUAUUUUCUUCUAAUUAGCAAUACGGUCCUAGACCACCAUCCGGAGAUUCAGGCCGAAUGUGGUAAAUUCCAAAUUCUUGUUGCAAAAGGUUCAUUAGGUCGUAGAUAGAUACAGAAAAUUUCGAAGAAUGUGUGACAUCACCAUGACAUCAUGAAAAUUUGUUUUUUUACAUUGGAUCGACACUUAGACCACCAUGUAUAGAAUUUUCAUGUACUUGUUCAUUCGACUUGGAUGAAACUCCUUUACUGCAGUUAUUGCUAAAACCGUCGAAACAGAUCAGUGUUUGUCCACAAACACAUUUCUAGUUUCAUCAUGAAACUAGAAACUGGUGUUUCCUUGAUUUCUCCACGAUUAUUAGCCCCGUCAUGCCUGCAGUUGAGCAUUUUAUAGGGUCAUAUUUCAAGAUUUCUUUGACGUGAACCAUAAUAUGCAAGUGGGGAAUGAUUUUAUUCCGAAUAAGUGUUUUUACUUGAUUGGUGCAUCAGUAAUUAAAAAGUGUAUAAGAAGUGUUUUAAAACUUGCAUGUACACACAAAAAUAUAGUUAGAUUAUGUAUAGUAUAAUUAUAAUUGACACUUAUAGCAGUCUUAUCUCAUGCUGUUGAAAGCAUAGGCUUUUGCAACUGAUCAGUAAAUUGUGUUGUCCCUUAUUUUUGGGGUUCUGUGAUGUAACUUUUGAUUUUCUGAAAAUGUUGAAAUUGCUUCUCUCGAUUUGUGGCGUCUGCAACCCUCUGAAAAAAAAUGGUUUUCAAUGGUUUACUUUAUGCUUGUACAUUGCAUAUUAGAUCACAUUAACUAAUAAAUGUUUGGUAUUAUUACACUACACAAA